GAUGAACGCUGGCGGCGUGCCUAAUACAUGCAAGUCGAGCGAACAGACGAGGAGCUUGCUCCUCUGACGUUAGCGGCGGACGGGUGAGUAACACGUGGAUAACCUACCUAUAAGACUGGGAUAACUUCGGGAAACCGGAGCUAAUACCGGAUAAUAUAUUGAACCGCAUGGUUCAAUAGUGAAGGACGGUUUUGCUGUCACUUAUAGAUGGAUCCGCGCCGCAUUAGCUAGUUGGUAAGGUAACGGCUUACCAAGGCGACGAUGCGUAGCCGACCUGAGAGGGUGAUCGGCCACACUGGAACUGAGACACGGUCCAGACUCCUACGGGAGGCAGCAGUAGGGAAUCUUCCGCAAUGGGCGAAAGCCUGACGGAGCAACGCCGCGUGAGUGAUGAAGGUCUUCGGAUCGUAAAACUCUGUUAUUAGGGAAGAACAAAUGUGUAAGUAACUAUGCACGUCUUGACGGUACCUAAUCAGAAAGCCACGGCUAACUACGU
Molecule: ribosomal RNA, 496 nt
Filed under: uncultured bacterium
Lineage: Bacteria
Description: partial 16S ribosomal RNA
Rfam family: Bacterial small subunit ribosomal RNA
Source: RNAcentral